Triticum aestivum (bread wheat) is the source of this 1719-nucleotide RNA transcript. RefSeq lists it as uncharacterized. The record is from RefSeq and is a predicted model, not a curated record. The transcript is spliced from 6 exons. Lineage: Eukaryota; Viridiplantae; Streptophyta; Magnoliopsida; Poales; Poaceae.
CCGCCGCGUGUUCCUCCUUCCAGCCGAUUGGGCAGAGCCGCACCCAACCCUAGCCUCCAAUGCACAACCACCCACUCCUCCCUCACCUCCCUCCCACAUCCGCCGCACCCCUCUCUCUCUCUUCCUUGUGUGUGCGUGGCGACGGGAGCGUAAGACGCAAGGAAGGACGAUGUCGUCGCCCCGUCGCCUAGGCACCAUGGCGGCGCCCACCGCGCGGGUUGGGGCUGGGCAGAAAGCCGGCGCCUACGUGCCAAAGUAGCGGGGUCGACCGUGGAGGGUGGCUCGCCAGCUAGAGCAGUAGGAGCAAGGAGGUCGUUGAGCGGCAAAUGCGGGCAGGGUCGGUAGUGGAUGGAGGCUCGCCGCCCGGAGCAGCAGGAGCAAGGAGGACGAUUUGGUUCAGGUUUGCCUCUAUCUUCUCCCCCCUCUAUCUGCCCUCUUAAUUUCCCCCUUGUCUCGUGGAUGAGGGCGUCGGUGCACUGUGAGCAGUGGAUCGAGAGUGGACCGUAGCAGGAGCAUGGAGCUGAUGAUAUUUGACUGCAUUACUGAAUCUUCUAGGGUUCGAGCAGCAGCUGAGCUUAGGGCAAGACAGGCACAUUAUUUGGAUCAUGAACUUACAGGAUGGUUUCCCCCGCCACAACCAUUGUAAUCAUCCUGCAUUCCCCCGUCAAGCGUGCAUCGGUGCUGGAUAUGCAAGCUGCAAUAGCACAUCAACGGGCAGGCAAGAGCAAGAAGAUGGUCACGAUUUUUGCCAAGCAGUGGAAGACAAUGUUAACUGAAGCCAAUUUUGUUGGUCAUGGAUUUACAAGAAAACCAGUAGAGUAUGAAAAUGUUCUCAUGGAACUCACCCUGAACUGAAAUCUAUCUUCAACCUUGCUUAAACUGAAAGCAAUGCAUGGUAUUGUUCAAUUCGAAGUGUACUUGACGUGUGCAGAUCUAAGGAUGAAGGGAAGAAGACAAAAUUUAGCUGAAGAGUUGAAUAAGAUUAAGUCUGCUUCAGUAAUGCUGUGGCAUGCCGCAAAACAACAACAUUUUUGCUGCUGCGAUUUGGUCCAUCCUGUGCAUUUCAGUUCCUGGUGCUCUCCAACGUUUGUCAGCUAAUGCCACCAGGAGGGCUGCCCACCCAAGACUUGUAAUGUGGGCAUCGGUACUGUCCUUUGACAUAUUUGGAAGUCACAUAAAGAUGUCGUUUCAACUCCUUCAGGUGCCAGGCCAAGGAUGUUACUCAUCGCUGCUGUGAAGACCUUGCGGUGUGGUGUUGGUUGUUCACAUCUUAUACUAGAAUAUAUAAAUUGAGCAUCAUGUCUGCAUCCAUGCUAUUUUUUGGUUUCUGUAAUCUAACCACCAAUAGUAUGAUAUAUAGGAUCUCUGGACAAACAACCACAAUGGGAGCAUUGUUUGGUGCAGCACAUACAAUAGCCACUACAAUGACCAGUGAAGCUGCAAAUUAACCUUGGAGAGUAUGGAAUAAUGAAUGCAAUGUAUUGUCUAUAGUUCCAACUCCUAAUGUCAACUUAAUGUCAACCUCGUGUGUCAGUGCUUUACAAUGGAUGAGAAAAGGUCAAAAACCGUAACUGAAGCUUUUGUCAGGUCGUAUAAAGAUGGCCUUAUUUACAGGUUAGUAUCCUCAUCUUCCCUUGUUCCAAGUGUUAAGCAUUUGUGUUUUGCCUGCUAAGUAAUGCCAUGGUGUUUUGACAUAAAGUUGUGAGUCAGUGUACUGGU